UCGAGGAUCUUCGGCAAUGAGCGCAAGCUUGACCGAGCGACGCCGCGUGUGCGAUGAAGGCCUUCGGGUUGUAAAGCACUGUCGGGGGGGAGAAAAGCCGAAAGGUUUGAUCUAUCCCCGGAGGAAGCACGGGCUAAGUUCGUGCCAGCAGCCGCGGUAAGACGAACCGUGCGAACGUUGUUCGGAAUCACUGGGCUUAAAGGGCGCGUAGGCGGGCCCUCAAGUCCGGGGUGAAAUCCUCCCGCCUAACGGGAGAAGAGCCUCGGAGACUGAGGGCCUCGAGGGGGGUAGGGGCGUGCGGAACUAUGGGUGGAGCGGUGAAAUGCAUUGAUAUCCAUAGGAACUCCGGUGGCGAAGGCGGCACGCUGGACCCCUUCUGACGCUGAGGCGCGAAAGCCAGGGGAGCAAACG
Molecule: ribosomal RNA, 411 nt
Filed under: uncultured Fimbriiglobus sp.
Lineage: Bacteria; Pseudomonadati; Planctomycetota; Planctomycetia; Gemmatales; Gemmataceae
Description: bacterial SSU rRNA
Rfam family: Bacterial small subunit ribosomal RNA
Source: RNAcentral